This 585-nucleotide ribosomal RNA is filed under the name Triticum aestivum (bread wheat). RNAcentral describes it as "partial small subunit ribosomal RNA". Lineage: Eukaryota; Viridiplantae; Streptophyta; Magnoliopsida; Poales; Poaceae. The record is from RNAcentral.
AUGGAUAAAAAGUUUGGAGUGCGCAUUGAAGAGCAAGGAGGUCUUUUGCACAGGGUGAGUUGUUCUUGCCGUAAGCUGGAAUGCGCAGGCACAUCAUGUUCCCACAUUUUUUACAUAUUGGGGAUUUUAAAACAAACAAUUCUGCCCGGUUGUUGCAUUCCCACUAGGUGGACUAUGAAUGCAAAAUGUGCAUACGCACCUACCAGAAAAAACCAGAUGUAUGACUAUUCGCUAAGCCUGCAGAGGUACCGCGAGUUGCGGAAUUGUAGUCACGCCGCAAGUUUCCAGGCAUGCCACUCUGAUGAGGACUAUCACCGUCUAAAGAUGCUUUUGCAAGCACAACAUCAUGGCAAGCAAUCAAGUUUUGAACUAGCUGACAGCAAGGAGUCAACUAAUGCUCAGCAUAACAGCAUUAGGUUUGGCCCGUUGAUGCCACACUCCCAGAAAGUUGAUAAGGUUCUGGAUCCCGUGCAUGUGCCAGGACGAGGUGCACUGAAGAAAAGGCUGCAGGCAAAGACAAAGAAGUCAAGAUCACAGAAUAUCUGUGGCUAUUGCAAGAAACUAGGUCACAAUCGACGUAAAUGC